This 803-nucleotide long non-coding RNA is filed under the name Vitis vinifera (wine grape). RNAcentral describes it as "long non-coding RNA (VVIN_LNC000654)". The record is from RNAcentral. Lineage: Eukaryota; Viridiplantae; Streptophyta; Magnoliopsida; Vitales; Vitaceae.
UUUGGUUGUUGGGUCGACUGGGAAGGAGUGGAGAAAGGAAGGGGUUGAAUUAUGUUGUUUUGUUUGCAAUGAUGAAAAUGGACUCUGUUUGGUUGCUGAGAAAGCUGGGGAGAAGAAAGGGGAAAUAAAGGAAGGGCUGAAAGAUUGACCUAAACUGAGGCAGAUAGUUGAGUUAGAUUUGGAUGAUUCUGUUUGGCUUGUGAAGAUGAAAAACGCUUUUUUUUUGGAUUAUGUUUUUUAGAGACUGUUUUUGGUUGUUGACAAAGCCAGGGAAACUAAAAGAAAAGGAAAGCAAGGGUUGAAUUGUGUUAUUUGGUUUUGGCAGAUGAAAGAUUGACCUAAAUAAGCUGGGUAGUAGAGCUAGGUUUGAAAGAUUGUUUUGUUGCUGAGAAAACUAGGUAAAAGAGAAGAGAGGGGAAAUAAAGGAAGGGCUGAAAGAUUGACCUAAACUGAGGCAGAUAGUUGAGUUAGAUUUGGAUGAUUCUGUUUGGCUUGUGAAGAUGAAAAACGCUUUUUUUUUGGAUUAUGUUUUUUAGAGACUGUUUUUGGUUGUUGACAAAGCCAGGGAAACUAAAAGAAAAGGAAAGCAAGGGUUGAAUUGUGUUAUUUGGUUUUGGCAGAUGAAAGAUUGACCUAAAUAAGCUGGAUAGUAGAGCUAGGUUUGAAAGAUUGUUUUGUUGCUGAGAAAACUAUGUAAAAGAGAAGAAAAGAAAGGGUUGAGUUGUGGUGUUUGGUUUUGCUAGAUGAAAUAUCGACUUAAACUAAGCCAGAUAGUUGAGUUACAUUUGGAUGAGUUGAUGCCU